Molecule: ribosomal RNA, 385 nt
Filed under: uncultured bacterium
Lineage: Bacteria
Description: bacterial SSU rRNA
Rfam family: Bacterial small subunit ribosomal RNA
Source: RNAcentral
GACGAACGCUGGCGGCGUGCUUAACACAUGCAAGUCGAACGGUAAGGCCCUUCGGGUACACGAGUGGCGAACGGGUGAGUAACACGUGGUGAUCUGCCCUGCACUUCGGGAUAAGCCUGGGAAACUGGGUCUAAUACCGGAUAGGACCAUGGACUUCACGGUUUGUGGUGGAAAGCUUUUGCGGUGUGGGAUGGGCCCGCGGCCUAUCAGCUUGUUGGUGGGGUAAUGGCCUACCAAGGCGACGACGGGUAGCCGGCCUGAGAGGGUGUCCGGCCACACUGGGACUGAGAUACGGCCCAGACUCCUACGGGAGGCAGCAGUGGGGAAUAUUGCACAAUGGGCGCAAGCCUGAUGCAGCGACGCCGCGUGAGGGAUGACGGCCUUC